CACGUAGGGGGCGAGCGUUGUCCGGAUUCAUUGGGCGUAAAGGGCGCGCAGGCGGCUCGGAAAGUCGGGUGUGAAAACUCGGGGCUCAACCCCGGGCGUGCAUCCGAUACUGCCGGGCUUGAGGCAGGUAGGGGAGAUCGGAAUUCCUGGUGUAGCGGUGAAAUGCGCAGAUAUCAGGAGGAACACCGGUGGCGAAGGCGGAUCUCUGGGCCAUUAUUGACGCUGAGGAGCGAAAGCGUGGGGAGCGAACAGG
This 253-nucleotide ribosomal RNA is filed under the name uncultured bacterium. Its description in RNAcentral is "partial 16S ribosomal RNA". It matches the Rfam family "Bacterial small subunit ribosomal RNA", at positions 524 to 776 of the family's 1533-position model. The record is from RNAcentral.